RNAcentral lists this ribosomal RNA (481 nucleotides) under Amphisbaena saxosa. Its description in RNAcentral is "partial 12S small subunit ribosomal RNA". It matches the Rfam family "Bacterial small subunit ribosomal RNA", at positions 786 to 1490 of the family's 1533-position model. The record is from RNAcentral. Lineage: Eukaryota; Metazoa; Chordata; Lepidosauria; Squamata; Amphisbaenidae.
CCUACUAUGCUAGGCCGUAAACCAGACAGUACCUACACCCCACUGUCCGCCAGAGAACUACAGGCAACAGCUUAAAACUCAAAGGACUUGGCGGUGUCCCAAAACAACCUAGAGGAGCCUGUCCUAUAAUCCGAUACUACACGCUACACCCAACCGCCCAUUGCAACCAAGCACAGCCUAUAUACCGCCGUCACCAGUCCACCUUAUGAAAGCCACCAAGUGGACAAAACCGUCACACCACAAACACGUCAGGUCGAGGUGUAGCUAAUGGGGCGGAAGAGAUGGGCUACAUUUUCCUAAGAUGACCACACGGACAGCAGCGUGAAACACCUGCUCGAAGGCGGAUUUAGUAGUAAAAUAAAUAACCUUCCUUAUUUUAACCCUGCUCUGGGACACGCACACACCGCCCGUCACCCUCUUCGACACCCGCGAUAAACCCGUCCAUAAAAACCCGCACAACCUAAAGAAGAGACAAGUCGUA